GAAAUGUGAUAAUUAAUGUGAAUUGCAGAAUUCAGUGAAUCAUCGAGUCUUUGAACGCACAUUGCGCCCCCUGGUAUUCCGGGGGGCAUGCCUGUCCGAGCGUCAUUGCUGCCCUCAAGCACGGCUUGUGUGUUGGGCUUCCGUCCCUGGCAACGGGGACGGGCCCAAAAGGCAGUGGCGGCACCAUGUCUGGUCCUCGAGCGUAUGGGGCUUUGUCACCCGCUCCCGUAGGUCCAGCUGGCAGCUAGCCUCAAAACCAAUCUUUUAAACCAGGUUGACCUCGGAUCAGGUAGGGAUACCCGCUGAACUUAAGC
RNAcentral lists this unclassified non-coding RNA (314 nucleotides) under plant metagenome. Its description in RNAcentral is "partial contains 5.8S ribosomal RNA, internal transcribed spacer 2, and large subunit ribosomal RNA". The stretch from base 1 to 105 matches the Rfam family "5.8S ribosomal RNA", at positions 50 to 154 of the family's 154-position model. The record is from RNAcentral.